RNAcentral lists this ribosomal RNA (253 nucleotides) under uncultured bacterium. RNAcentral's name for it is "partial 16S ribosomal RNA". It matches the Rfam family "Bacterial small subunit ribosomal RNA", at positions 524 to 776 of the family's 1533-position model. The record is from RNAcentral.
UACGUAGGGGGCAAGCGUUGUCCGGAUUUAUUGGGCGUAAAGAGCGUGUAGGCUGCUCGGAUAGUCGGGUGUGAAAGCCCUGGGCUCAACCCAGGAAGUGCAUUCGAUACUGCCGAGCUUGAGUCCUGGAGAGGAAGGCGGAAUUCUCGGUGUAGAGGUGAAAUUCGUAGAUAUCGAGAGGAACACCGGUGGCGAAGGCGGCCUUCUGGACAGUGACUGACGCUGAGACGCGAAAGCGUGGGGAGCAAACAGG